UGAUGCAAUAAAAUGCGAGUCGCAUGCAUGAAGUAUUUUAACAUUAAUUGUUGGUUAUUUACGUUCAUUUCACUAAAAUAAAGUGCAUUUAAGAUAUAUUUCUGACCAAAAAUAAUAAGUGAAUUGUUGAAAGCUGGUAGGUAUACUGGAUAUAUUUACACUUUCAUUGUUGUGGUGCAUGUCUUUUGGUUUAAAUUCAGGGCAUCAAAUUCUUGAAGUUGUAGGAAUAAGUGUGACAUUCAUGAAUAUCUAAUUACUUUAUAAUUUAAGGACUGAACUUCUUCAGACAUUUUCAGAGUUUAUUCAUUAAAAAAUAUAUUGUAGUACAUACAAUACUUAAAUUACAUUUUAUAUGUAAGUUAUUGUUACGUGCUAGAAUAAAGAAGUCUUUUGAUUAA
This is a long non-coding RNA of Amyelois transitella, 398 nucleotides long. RefSeq lists it as uncharacterized. The record is from RefSeq and is a predicted model, not a curated record. The transcript is spliced from 2 exons. Lineage: Eukaryota; Metazoa; Arthropoda; Insecta; Lepidoptera; Pyralidae.